UCUCGUCUCUCAUCUCUCUCGUCUCUCUCUUAGCUAAGCAGCAUCAAUAGAGGACUCCGGCAAGAGCCUCACUUCCCUCAAAUAGCUAUCUUCUUCCCUUCUCUCCCUCAUCGACGUCCAUGACAGAGCUAGGCGGUGGUGGUCCCCACUUUUCGUCGACGGCAUCCCAAGUGCAAGGCAGCAGCGGUGGAAGUGGACGGUAGCCUCCCUACAGUGCAACGCAAGUGUUGCAGCUUCCGCUUUCGGCAAGCUACGAACGGCCAUGGCAACUCCGGCGAUGAAGCAGCGAGAAGAGGCAGCGAGAGGAGGCGGCAUUGUGCGUCCCCUGCUCUUCCUUUCCGGUGAGCAGUGCUGCGGCGGGGAAGUGGCGGAUGAUGAAGACGGCUUCCUCUUCCAUGUUCGAUGUGAUCGGAGCAAUAGCGGUCAGCGUCGGUGGUGAUCUCUUCCCCGUCCAGCGUACGCAGCAGCAGCGGCGUUCCCCUCCCCUGCUUCCGACGGUUUCGCGACAACGGUCCAGCGGCGACAUGCCUUCUCUCUUCCUAUCUUCCAUCAAUGGUGGCUGAAAGAUCGUAUGAAGGGUGGUUGUUCGGUGGUAGCAAUUUCAUGGCAGGAAGGAGAUUGAUUAGCAUCUUAUUUUAAGGUUCCCUAAUUGUGGUCUAGCUUGUGAGAUGAGCCUAGGAUUGAUGUUGCUUGGAUUGAUGAGCUUCAAGAGGUAUGGAGUAGAACCUGCACGCGAGAGUGCUAGUCUUUAGUUCUAUUCCUCUGUUAUGAUUCUAGCCUAGUAGUAUUUUAGAUGUUUUGACUUUGGGCCUGCGUGCCUUAGAACUUGGUGAAUGUAAUAAUGGAUUAGAUUGUGUUUGUUUUGAGGAUUUUGAGAUUAUGUUUUUGAAUUCGCCUUAGCAUCUAGGCCUUGUGGACUUAAAUGUGGCGUAGCACCCCUCAUGUGAUAUAGAAUCGCUUCCGUAUUACUGUUGUUUAA
This is a long non-coding RNA of Ipomoea triloba (trilobed morning glory), 979 nucleotides long. RefSeq lists it as uncharacterized. Lineage: Eukaryota; Viridiplantae; Streptophyta; Magnoliopsida; Solanales; Convolvulaceae. The record is from RefSeq and is a predicted model, not a curated record. The transcript is spliced from 3 exons.